RNAcentral lists this ribosomal RNA (450 nucleotides) under uncultured bacterium. RNAcentral describes it as "bacterial SSU rRNA". It matches the Rfam family "Bacterial small subunit ribosomal RNA", at positions 355 to 825 of the family's 1533-position model. The record is from RNAcentral.
UCGAGAAUCUUUCGCAAUGGGCGAAAGCCUGAUGGAGCGACGUCGCGUGAUGGACGAAGUGCUUCGGCACGUAAACAUCUUUUAUGUGGGAUGAAAUUAUUGACAGUACCACAUGAAUAAGGGGCUCCUAACUCUGUGCCAGCAGGAGCGGUAAUACAGAGGCCCCAAGCGUUAUCCGGAAUCACUGGGCGUAAAGGGUGUCGAGGCGGUUGUAUUAGUCGUUCGUAAAAUCUACGAGCUUAACUUGUAGGCGGCGAACGAAACGGUACGACUUGAGGUUUGGAGAGGUGCGUGGAACUCACGGUGUAGGGGUGAAAUCCGUUGAUAUCGUGGGGAACACCCAAGGCGAAGGCAGCGCACUGGCCAAAAUCUGACGCUCACACACGAAAGCUAGGGUAGCGAAGAGGAUUAGAUACCCUCGUAGUCCCUGAGCGGGCUGGCAAGGCGCAU